This 468-nucleotide ribosomal RNA is filed under the name uncultured bacterium. Its description in RNAcentral is "partial 16S ribosomal RNA". It matches the Rfam family "Bacterial small subunit ribosomal RNA", at positions 28 to 507 of the family's 1533-position model. The record is from RNAcentral.
GACGAACGCUGGCGGCGUGCUUAACACAUGCAAGUCGAACGGAAAGGCCCUGCUUUUGUGGGGUGCUCGAGUGGCGAACGGGUGAGUAACACGUGAGUAACCUUGCCUUGACUUUGGGAUAACUUCAGGAAACUGGGGCUAAUACCGGAUAGGAGCUCCUGCUGCAUGGUGGGGGUUGGAAAGUUUAGGUGGUGGGGGAUGGAUGGUGGGCUUAUCAGCUUGUUGGUUGGGGAGUGGCUUACCAAGGCUUUGGCGGGUAGCCGGCCUGAGAGGGUAAACGGCGACAUUGGUACUGCGAUACGGCGCAGACGCCUACAGGAGGCAGCAGGGGGGAAUAUUGCACAAUGGGGGGAAGCCUGAGGCAGAAAUCCUGCGUUCGGGAUGACGGCCUUCGGGUUGUAAACCGCUUUAGCCUGUGACGAAGCGGGAUUGACGGUACUGGGUAAAGAAGCACCGGCUAACUACGUG